GAUUGCGCAAGGAUUAUCUCCCUUUGACCCUGAUAAAGCUGCAAUCGCGGCUG
RNAcentral lists this non-coding RNA (53 nucleotides) under unclassified sequences. The record is from RNAcentral.